Diorhabda sublineata is the source of this 7768-nucleotide long non-coding RNA. RefSeq lists it as uncharacterized. The transcript has 3 exons. NCBI's taxonomy places the organism in Eukaryota, Metazoa, Arthropoda, Insecta, Coleoptera, Chrysomelidae. The record is from RefSeq and is a predicted model, not a curated record.
AUGCGACUCAAUCCCAUGACUCUCCUGAAAAACUAUCAUCACUUUUCCAACCUACGAAACCUUUUUCAGAGCUAAUUUGCCUUUAGUAAUCUACUAACUUGGUGUAUUUCCGUUUCAGAAGUGUGAUAGUGAACCUAGGUUUCAUCUAAAUGAAUCGACUUGAAAAAUCCGAUUGACUCCUUAAGUUUUUCACUAAACUUCACUAAAUUCAAUGUAAAUGUAUAUAAUUGAUCAGCUCGUCAAUACUGUUGAAGCCUUUUAUGAAAACGGGCGUUGAAAUCAAAUAAUUCUGCAUAAAACAUUGCUAGAUAUUGCUUCCGAUAGUGAGGUAGAACAGCCGCCAACCUUCACCCAAUAACACUGAGAAGAAUUUUGAAUAAAGACGCUUAGAAGGUUAAUAAACUGACAUUUACCGACCUUUAUUUGGUUAAACCUUACGGAGAAAAUCAUCUGCAGUGAUAUCGUAUUAGAUAAUUAGCAGAAUUGCACCAUGGACAUCCACGAAUGAUUGAAAAGCUACCAGCAGCAACUGAUUGAUGCCAGGUGACAUAACUUAUUCAAAGAUGAGGUCGAUCAAGCAUAUGGGAUUGAUGAUAACUAUUUUUUGUGGCAAGAAAUUGAGGAUAUACAGCUGGAAACUAUUUGGUUCGAACAGGACGAUGUCACUUGUCACACAGCCAAAGAAAAAAAUUAUUUUGCGGGAAAUUUGAUAGCCUUGAUAUAUCGUGUCAUAGUGAUAUAAAUUGGCAGCCAUAAUCACGUGAUUUGAUACAGUUUGACUUAUUUUUUGGGGGGAUAUUCAAAAGAAAAAGUUUACUUCAGGAACCCUGGAACUGUACAAGAUCUAAAAGAUUGUUUCAUUAACAUUAUAUACCUUAGCGGUAAGCAUUUUGUUUCAAUUUCAAUUCAUAAAUUUUAUUCUUAUAUAAGGUAAUAAACUAACUGUACUACAACGUUUACACAUUUUGGUUUAUUAAACAACGAGAGGUGGGCCGCAUUUUUUUCGAGAUUUUUCGAAUAAAUCUAACGAUUUUCUAAUUUAUAUAUGUACGUAUAAACAGUCAAUCAAAAUACGUGGCUGUAACAUUACUAGCGUUGAAUUGGCUGUAUUAAGUAUUUGUUUCCGACUGCGUCUUUAUAGUACUAUGGGUGUGUUAAAUUACAUUCUUCUGCGUAAGUGCGCAAGGCUAAAUCGAGUAUUAAGGUCAAAAGUUGAUAGUUAUACAGGAAAUUGAAAAUUUUAUCUUGCGAGCCACGAUAGAAUAAUAAGGUCACUAAUAGCGGUUGAGCCCAUUUUUAAAUUUGAAUUAGCGAUUGCGUGAACAGCAUAAAUAUUCAACGUUCUUUGUUAAAAGAACAGUUUAGGAAAAUUUAAUUAUAUACUUGGUGCAAAAAUAUCAAAAGUCUUGUAUCUCCCUCAGUAUUGUUAAAUAAAUUUUAAAAAUACUACAAAAAGGGAUUUUAUUUAUGAAAAAAAGGCUUAGGAGAUUAAUUAAAUGCUGAAAUUCAAUAUGUUAUGUUUAAUAAAAUACUUUUUUUAUAAUAACUUCACCAAUCAAAUCGGACAGAUGGCAGGGGGUGAGUCAAGAGGAGAAAAUAGAAUUUUCACGAAAACCAUUGCUCAAACUCAAAAACUGACGUGAUUUUCGGAAUCUCCAUGAGAAAAUACAUGAUACUACGCGUUUUUCUCGAUACUUUCCUAUUUUUCCUAUUAAGUGGCAUCACCUCCCAGCCAAGCUCCAAUAGUUUUCCACGAGUGUUCCCCAAAUAUGUGUGAGGCUUUGCAUUUCCGAUUCGACAAUUCUGACCGUUUUUCUUUGUUUACUUCAUCCAAUUUUAUUAAUUAUUGAUCAGAAUUGAUCGUUUGCUUCCUUGGAAGCAGCUCAAAAUACGAAACACGUUUGUAAUCCGGAUAGGACCAGCUCUAUAUAAAAAUUUGAAAUUACAAAAACUUUAUCAUUAAAUAUCUCCGGAAAUAUUGAUUUAACCGACUUGGUGUUGAGGACUUUUUUCGUAGAAAAUUGAAUAUUCUACAAGUUUGUUGUUCACUUUUUUUUUGUAGUUCUUGUCAUUCAAGAAAUAAACGCGACAAAACGUAAAUUUGAUGAAAAAAUCAAAUGUAGAGCCCUAUACUACCUCGCCAGUUCGAGUGCAGCAUUGAAUUGUGAAAAAAAACCGUCCAUGGUCGCUAAUGAGAUAUAGACAUUUAAAACUGAACGAUCAGAGCUGCUCUGUUUUUUUUUUAAGAAUUUGUUUUCGGUACUUGCAACAAAAUUUAACGAUGAAACGGAAAAAACGAACCAUAUGAUCUGUACAAUUAAAAUAUCUGGGAACCGUUUGUUUUACCAUCUUCAGCUCUAAAGAAUGAAAUACCGAAGGGACUGAACUUCCCAUCUACGAGGUCUGGCUAUUAAAUAACGAGACUGCGCGCCAAGAGGGCGUUGGGUAUCUAGAUAUCUUGUCCACGCACGUCCCAAAACACGUUUCCGUCACUAUUAUAAUAUUUGAGCAGUAGCUGUUUGAAACGAACGUGUUUUUUCUCGUGCCAUUUAUAACGAAAAUCAUUAGCAACGUAUCAAUCUCAAGUUUCUCGUUAAAUUGAAAAAAACUCCGCCAGAGUGCUAUAAAUUCUUGCCAGAAGCCUAUGGGGACAAUUUUAUCUCUCGUGCGCGUGUUUUUGAGUCUGUGAAGCUCGAACACCCACCGUACUCACCAGAUUUGGGACCGUGCGACUUUUUCUUGUUUCCGAAGAUAAAAUCUGCUUUGAAUGGACUCGAUUUGAGUCGAUGGAAGCGGUAAACCCGAGCUCCUAAAGGCACUCGCCAAAGAAGACUUCCAGAAGUGCUUCGAGCAAUGGAAAAAACGUAUGGAAAGGUGUAUGGCGAAGGUAGGGGAUUAUAUUGAAAGGGAGCAUUCGAAUGUAGAAUAAUUUUUAUAAUAAAACCAUUUUUCGUAACCAGUCUCGUUAUUUAUUACCCAGACCUCGUAUACAACUUAUUUUGUUGUUGUUAUCAGAGAAGUGUCGAAAAUUCAGUAAAUAUUUCAGUAAAAUUUGAAAUUUUACUGAUGGAAACAAAAAAAAUUCACUUCAAAAUGUAUAAAAACAAACGUUUGUAUUUCGUAAUUUGUGUUUAAAUGAUGUUAUAGGGUCAAGUUGACGUGAAUCGUUAUUUUUAAAUUGCCAGUUUCAUUUUAUUUAGCAAGAAAUCUCUCAACCGACCUCACGAUUCUUGUCGCACCAACUGACAUUUUGCAAAUAGAAUUAAAAGCCAUUUAAAUAUUAUUAACAUGUCGUCUCUAAAGCGUACAUCAAAUCCGGACGAAUGAUGCUGCAAUCACUUAUUCUAGGUUGGCGUUUAGAAAAUAAAAUUUAUGUAACUGAAAUACAUUACACAAUCUAGAAGGUUAGCGAUGUUAUGGCGUAGGUGAGGACGAGUAAACAAUAAGCGAGAGUGAAUCGCUUUUUCCAUCGAAUAGGUAUUUAACUAAUUAAACUUAAUUAGUUUUAAUCAAAUAAGAACGACGACAUGCUAUAAGUGAAAUUCGGUGAGAUUGAGGUUAAGUUUAUUCGGAAAUUAGCAUAAAAUUGAAAUUAUACGAAUUGUAAAACGCAGUAACAUGUGAAUAUUAUACGAGGAUGGUCUCAGAAGUACCUGGCCCAACAGAAAAAAACCCAAAAAGUUUUUUCCCAACGAUGUUCAAUAUGGCCGACGAUAGGGAAUAAUGCAGCUGCACCUUAUUUAAAUUAAAAAUAAACGAAAAAACAAAUAAAAGCACAAAAAAAAUUCAAAAUAUAUCCCCAAACCGAGAAGAACCGUUUUUACUUAACUCGUCCUCUUCUGGCCUUUGGUUGAUGGCUUUUCGUCCUUUUCAGCUAGAAUAGUACAACUCCAGCCAUCCAGAGGAGCAAUUCCUAUAUCGGGGCUAACUGCAACACAUCUUUCUCAAAAAAAAAGUCUCUUAUCCUACCUAUAAAUCAUCCAACGAUUUAUUUGCCGACAUCACCUCUUCAUUAUUGAAAAAUCUUUGACCAAAGGGUCUAUUUUUUCAAGUCUGCGAACAGAAAAUAAUCCGAUGGUGCUAAAUAUGGCGAAUAGGGUGUAUUCGAACUUAAAUUUCUUAAUUUUGGCCAUUGCAUUAACUGAUGUGUAAGCUGGUGCAACGAUUUGAUGAAACAAAACCGGUUUUGUUUGAUUUUUUCGCUCAAACAUUGCAAUAAGUUCGCAUAAUACUCGUCGUUGAUAGUUUUUACUUUUUCAAGAUGGUCAAAAUGAAAAUUAUCUCGCGCGCAUCCCAAAAAACCGACGUUAUGACCUUGCCUUCAGAUGAAACGGUCUCUGCCUUAUAAAAUGGUUAGGAGAAUAGAAAAAAAGGCUAAAAAAUAUGAAAGAAACUCGUAAAUGUUUCAUUAAUUUACGAACUUGUCAAAUUAAUGUCAACAAUUCUCCAUUUUGUGUCGAAACUACGCUAUUUAUUACAACUUUGAACGAAUUAAUGACGUUUCUACAUAUUGAAUUUUUGACAACUCCCAUCAAAUAUUUUUCACAAUAAAUCAAAUUGUCUCAGUGCGCACAUUAGCGGAAUUUCGAUUUUACGUUGGAUUUACGUUAGGGAAAAACGACGCAUCUUUGAAAUGGGUCGCCCUAGAAACCCGGGGCGAAGCGUGUGCGACCUCAUUUUCGAUAUCGAUCAGUGACCUACUUUUUUGGGCAACACGUGCUCUUGGAACUGCAUCGCACAUCGGCCGUUUCGGAGUUUCCAACUAAUGGAAACGACUAGGGAGUUCAUUUAAACAGUUCCUACAUGAUUUGAUUUAUUGCAUGCGAUAGUUCGGGUCCAUAGCCGGUUUGUAAAGAUUUUUCAGUGAAAUAGUUUUAAUUAUCAUCUUAUAUAUUCGGUAAAUAUCAACCGAAAUAAACAUGAUAAGUAACAACAGUAAAAGAGACGAUUAGAACAAAGAGAAACGCACAGAUUCCUAGUAAACAGCGUAGAAGGAUUGACCAACAAUGUCAACAAGUCCAGUAUGAGUCUGAUGUAGAACAUUUCAAAGUGGUUAUUGGAUAACUAUGAAAUAUGAAUAAAUAUUUUUGAUGUCUAGACAGCUAUCAAGAAUUUUAAUUCGAAAUAUAUUCGUUACUUUAAUAAAGUAAAAGUCCAUCCCUAUACACUUGUAGUAAGUUAGUUAUUUUAGAAAAAUAUUUUGUAAAUAUAUAGUUUAUAUGGCAGAACAACGUUUGCCGGGUCAGCUAGUAUGAUAUUAAAUAAAGAUCAGAACAGUAAAAAAAAGUUUUUGGUAUUUAAUCCCGUUAUUUUUGCAUGCCUCACCCUAAUCCUUUGUUUAUCCUCGGUCAACGCUGACCUAGUUCUAUAUGACCUAAUUCCGAAAAUCCAGGCACUCUUUUCUAGUCCAAUCUAUCGGCGGAACGCGCUUUUCAUCGCUUUCAUUACAUACUAUAUAAUGUCUUAUGUCAACACUAUAUAAAAUUUAUAUUUGGAACGAUUUUCCAUGUUUAUAUUUAAUUUCCGUAAUAAUAAAUGAAUCUGUUACUUUUUAUCGUCUAUAAAUGUCACCAAUUAAUUAAAAAAUUGUAUCUUUUGAAAGUUCAAAUCAAAGAAGCGUCAAUUCUCUUUUAGUUUGUUCAUAGUCCCCAAUUUUCCUUAAGACCCACUUUGUAUACGAAGCUAUUUUGGUCUAUGGAUCGGUGACUAGCUAGUCAAUUCAAAAUUCAAACAAAUAUAAAAGAAUACGUCUGUAAAGUUAGAAAGAUUAAGUCGCUUAUUUUAUAGAUCAAAAUUUACUGCUAUUUGGUGCUAUGAUAGGUAGACCUUAUCAGGUUUUCCAAUAUUUUCUUAAUUCAGAAUUCAUGAAACCAGUUAUGGUUGAAGAUAAACAAAUAAAUACGCUGCUCAAUUAAUAAAUAUCCUUGGUAGUUCGUCUGGACACACCGACGAGUGAGAUUGAAGGUCUUAUUGGGUACAUGGCUCUGGACCAGAAGCCUUCUCCAUCGAUAUUGAAAUAAAGAUUCAUUAUGCAGAAAUUACAUAGUCCCAGAUACUGUGUCCUCCAGUUGAUAGACAUGAAAUUUCCAAAUUCAGGUCGAACAAUUAUCACUAAUAACUGUAACUUCAGUUGAUGUAGCAAAUUGAUUAUUAGAUAGGAAAACUCAUCUUCUGGGUACGCUCCGCUCCAACAGAAAAGUUAAUCCCGAAAAGGAUACAACGAAAAAAUUGAAGAUUGGUGAAAGUUUGGCCAGAUAAAUGGAUAGAGGAAUUGAGGUAUUGAAAUGGAAAGACAAACGAGAUGUGCUAAUGAUUCCAACAAAAUAUAGUACAAAAUCUGCGAAUGUGCAACUCAAAAACGACCAAAAACCUCAAAGGUCGUAGUAUUCAUAUAGUUUGUUGAAAAAUGUACUUAGCUCAAUCUAGAGAGGAACUAUCGCAAUCAGAAGAUCAUCAUCCUGUCCAAUCAAUUAGAGCUCUAAGCUCCAAUAUCAUAUAAUGAAAAUUCGUUUGGAAUUGCUUAGAAACAUCAAACGGCUAAGCAAGAAAAAUAAAAUUGGAUUCCGGGAGACACCGGAGAGGAGUGAAAUAAAAUAGCUAAUAAGCUUGCUAAAGCUUGGAACCCAAAUCCUUCUAUGGUAUCAGCUACAGAAGAAUAGAAAAAGCACUGGACAACCUACAGAAGUUGAUACAAGCAAAGAUUCUUCUGGGAAACUAUAACCAGAAAAAUCCACGAAUACUAACACGAGUUUUAUCGCCUCAACACACACCUGAAGACGCUAGGACUAGCAGAUAAUGCGGCGUGCAGGUUUUGUUGAAACCUCUAUCCGUAUUAUCUGGAAACGUGACACUUUGGAGUGGAUGAAAUAGAAGACGAAGAUCUCUGGCAUCCUAGCCGUUUUAGAAGGAGUGGGAUUGAUGGAUCUGCUGUAAACACUUGCUGUAUCAUAGCAAGAAAGGGGUAGAUCCUUUGGGUCACAGUGUAUACGAGACCCCAAAUCUAUAUAAGAACCGUAGCUCUCGUUAUAAUUUGAUUUUACAACGAAGUAUGACUGAAUUAAUUGUGCACUAGCAGGCUCAUACGGUUGUUAAAGUGUUAAAAGAGACCUAAAAUAAAAACAAUUUAUGAAUUAGUUAAACUCAAGAUUGACGAGUAAGAAAAUAACGAAAAAUAUCGUAAAUAUAUUGGAGUUUGGAGAAAACAAGCGUAAAAUAUUGCACUAACCUUAACGCGAUGUUUACAGGAAACAAUGUAAUAUAUAGAAAAUUUUUUAUAUCGAAAGGUAUUCUUAUCAAAACUUAUUAAAAUAUCUAGAAACUAAUUUAUUUAUAAUCAACAUAAAUAAUAUCUUUCUUAAUUACGUAUACAUCUCUUAUCACUUGUAUGGUUUCCGUUCGGUUUGGAAAUUUGCGAAGGCAAACCGUGUGUUUAUGAUUCAUAAAAAAAUAAACGAGAAUGAACAGUUAGAGUCAAGUUACAGGUGCCGUUACACAGAAGUCACUUCAUAAUUGGGUCGCAACGGUAAGCGUUAAGACGUAAAAGCCAAGGCAAGUAAAUAAUAGUCAAGGUACGUGAUUCAAAAAACAAAUGUAAACCGGACUAUUACAAAUUUACUUAACACAAAAAUUGUUCAAAAUAAAUAUUGAUUAGUCCAGCUAUUUUUUUUUAUUUCAUCUAAGAUAAACGCUUUUGUCGUUCAAUCAACGAUAAUCUAAAUCUGGAUGCCUCUUGAGAAGUUUCGACACUCAAUCUAUAGAAAAAGAUUAU